Molecule: ribosomal RNA, 604 nt
Filed under: uncultured fungus
Lineage: Eukaryota; Fungi
Description: eukaryotic LSU rRNA
Rfam family: 5.8S ribosomal RNA (bases 234-387)
Source: RNAcentral
CUUGGUCAUUUAGAGGAAGUAAAAGUCGUAACAAGGUCUCCGUAGGUGAACCUGCGGAGGGAUCAUUACACAAAUAUGAAGGCGGGCUGGAACCUCUCGGGGUUACAGCCUUGCUGAAUUAUUCACCCUUGUCUUUUGCGUACUUCUUGUUUCCUUGGUGGGUUCGCCCACCACUAGGACAAACAUAAACCUUUUGUAAUUGCAAUCAGCGUCAGUAACAAAUUAAUAAUUACAACUUUCAACAACGGAUCUCUUGGUUCUGGCAUCGAUGAAGAACGCAGCGAAAUGCGAUAAGUAGUGUGAAUUGCAGAAUUCAGUGAAUCAUCGAAUCUUUGAACGCACAUUGCGCCCUUUGGUAUUCCAAAGGGCAUGCCUGUUCGAGCGUCAUUUGUACCCUCAAGCUUUGCUUGGUGUUGGGCGUCUUGUCUCUAGCUUUGCUGGAGACUCGCCUUAAAGUAAUUGGCAGCCGGCCUACUGGUUUCGGAGCGCAGCACAAGUCGCACUCUCUAUCAGCAAAGGUCUAGCAUCCAUUAAGCCUUUUUUUCAACUUUUGACCUCGGAUCAGGUAGGGAUACCCGCUGAACUUAAGCAUAUCAAUAAGCGG